GUGCUCACUUUGGCAGCAUAUAUACUAAAAUUAAAGCAAGACAGAGAAGAUGAGCAUGGCCCCUGCUCAAGGAUGACACACAAAUUCAUGAAGUGUUUUAUAUUUUU
RNAcentral lists this small nuclear RNA (107 nucleotides) under Theropithecus gelada (gelada). Lineage: Eukaryota; Metazoa; Chordata; Mammalia; Primates; Cercopithecidae. The record is from RNAcentral.